Non-coding RNA from Schistosoma haematobium, 45 nucleotides. The record is from Rfam. Lineage: Eukaryota; Metazoa; Platyhelminthes; Trematoda; Strigeidida; Schistosomatidae.
AUCCAGUUGACAAGUCUUAAAUAGGACGAAACGUGCAUCCUGGAU